GUUCGCGACCUCGCCGCUCUAUCCCUGUCCG
RNAcentral lists this transfer RNA (31 nucleotides) under uncultured Micromonas. RNAcentral's name for it is "partial Selenocysteine transfer RNA". Lineage: Eukaryota; Viridiplantae; Chlorophyta; Mamiellophyceae; Mamiellales. The record is from RNAcentral.